AAUGAGGGGGGAACACACUUGACGGACAAAUACUCCUGACUGACCGAUAGUGAACCAGUACCGUGAGGGAAAGGCGAAAAGAACCCCGGCGAGGGGAGUGAAAAAGAACCUGAAACCGUGUACGUACAAGCAGUGGGAGCACAGAGCAAUCUGUGUGACUGCGUACCUUUUGUAUAAUGGGUCAGCGACUUAUAUUCUGUAGCAAGGUUAACCGAAUAGGGGAGCCGAAGGGAAACCGAGUCUUAACUGGGCGUUAAGUUGCAGGGUAUAGACCCGAAACCCGGUGAUCUAGCCAUGGGCAGGUUGAAGGUUGGGUAACACUAACUGGAGGACCGAACCGACUAAUGUUGAAAAAUUAGCGGAUGACUUGUGGCUGGGGGUGAAAGGCCAAUCAAACCGGGAGAUAGCUGGUUCUCCCCGAAAGCUAUUUAGGUAGCGCCUCGUGAAUUCAUCUCCGGGGGUAGAGCACUGUUUCGGCAAGGGGGUCAUCCCGACUUACCAACCCGAUGCAAACUGCGAAUACCGGAGAAUGUUAUCACGGGAGACACACGGCGGGUGCUAACGUCCGUCGUGAAGAGGGAAACAACCCAGACCGCCAGCUAAGGUCCCAAAGUCAUGGUUAAGUGGGAAACGAUGUGGGAAGGCCCAGACAGCCAGGAUGUUGGCUUAGAAGCAGCCAUCAUUUAAAGAAAGCGUAAUAGCUCACUGGUCGAGUCGGCCUGCGCGGAAGAUGUAACGGGGCUAAACCAUGCACCGAAGCUGCGGCAGCGACACUGUGUGUUGUUGGGUAGGGGAGCGUUCUGUAAGCCUGUGAAGGUGUGCUGUGAGGCAUGCUGGAGGUAUCAGAAGUGCGAAUGCUGACAUAAGUAACGAUAAAGCGGGUGAAAAGCCCGCUCGCCGGAAGACCAAGGGUUCCUGUCCAACGUUAAUCGGGGCAGGGUGAGUCGACCCCUAAGGCGAGGCCGAAAGGCGUAGUCGAUGGGAAACAGGUUAAUAUUCCUGUACUUGGUGUUACUGCGAAGGGGGGACGGAGAAGGCUAUGUUGGCCGGGCGACGGUUGUCCCGGUUUAAGCGUGUAGGCUGGUUUUCCAGGCAAAUCCGGAAAAUCAAGGCUGAGGCGUGAUGACGAGGCACUACGGUGCUGAAGCAACAAAUGCCCUGCUUCCAGGAAAAGCCUCUAAGCAUCAGGUAACAUCAAAUCGUACCCCAAACCGACACAGGUGGUCAGGUAGAGAAUACCAAGGCGCUUGAGAGAACUCGGGUGAAGGAACUAGGCAAAAUGGUGCCGUAACUUCGGGAGAAGGCACGCUGAUAUGUAGGUGAAGUCCCUCGCGGAUGGAGCUGAAAUCAGUCGAAGAUACCAGCUGGCUGCAACUGUUUAUUAAAAACACAGCACUGUGCAAACACGAAAGUGGACGUAUACGGUGUGACGCCUGCCCGGUGCCGGAAGGUUAAUUGAUGGGGUCAGCGCAAGCGAAGCUCUUGAUCGAAGCCCCGGUAAACGGCGGCCGUAACUAUAACGGUCCUAAGGUAGCGAAAUUCCUUGUCGGGUAAGUUCCGACCUGCACGAAUGGCGUAAUGAUGGCCAGGCUGUCUCCACCCGAGACUCAGUGAAAUUGAACUCGCUGUGAAGAUGCAGUGUACCCGCGGCAAGACGGAAAGACCCCGUGAACCUUUACUAUAGCUUGACACUGAACAUUGAGCCUUGAUGUGUAGGAUAGGUGGGAGGCUUUGAAGUGUGGACGCCAGUCUGCAUGGAGCCGACCUUGAAAUACCACCCUUUAAUGUUUGAUGUUCUAACGUGGACCCGUGAUCCGGGUUGCGGACAGUGUCUGGUGGGUAGUUUGACUGGGGCGGUCUCCUCCUAAAGAGUAACGGAGGAGCACGAAGGUUGGCUAAUCCUGGUCGGACAUCAGGAGGUUAGUGCAAUGGCAUAAGCCAGCUUGACUGCGAGCGUGACGGCGCGAGCAGGUGCGAAAGCAGGUCAUAGUGAUCCGGUGGUUCUGAAUGGAAGGGCCAUCGCUCAACGGAUAAAAGGUACUCCGGGGAUAACAGGCUGAUACCGCCCAAGAGUUCAUAUCGACGGCGGUGUUUGGCACCUCGAUGUCGGCUCAUCACAUCCUGGGGCUGAAGUAGGUCCCAAGGGUAUGGCUGUUCGCCAUUUAAAGUGGUACGCGAGCUGGGUUUAGAACGUCGUGAGACAGUUCGGUCCCUAUCUGCCGUGGGCGCUGGAGAACUGAGGGGGGCUGCUCCUAGUACGAGAGGACCGGAGUGGACGCAUCACUGGUGUUCGGGUUGUCAUGCCAAUGGCACUGCCCGGUAGCUAAAUGCGGAAGAGAUAAGUGCUGAAAGCAUCUAAGCACGAAACUUGCCCCGAGAUGAGUUCUCCCUGACCCUUUAAGGGUCCUGAAGGAACGUUGAAGACGACGACGUUGAUAGGCCGGGUGUGUAAGCGCAGCGAUGCGUUGAGCUAACCGGUACUAAUGAACCGUGAGGCUUAACCUUACAACGCCGAAGGUGUUU
RNAcentral lists this ribosomal RNA (2523 nucleotides) under Escherichia coli. Its description in RNAcentral is "bacterial LSU rRNA". It matches the Rfam family "Bacterial large subunit ribosomal RNA", at positions 441 to 2925 of the family's 2925-position model. Lineage: Bacteria; Pseudomonadati; Pseudomonadota; Gammaproteobacteria; Enterobacterales; Enterobacteriaceae. The record is from RNAcentral.